GGCCGCGCCCCGCCUUGAGCGGCUGCAGAAGCACGCGGCUGCGCACUAAGCCGCGAUCUACACACUCAGGACAGAUCGAUACAAAGGAGGAGAGUGAGAGAAAGGGAUAUGGGGAGAGGGAAGGAACCCUAGCUAGAAUCCAAAUUUCCCCUCAAAAAAGAAUCCAAAUUUCCCAGUUUUGCAGCAUCCUCAUCCGCCCGUGCAACUGGUUCUCGCCAGAAAGGGUUCCAUGUCCGGCACAGUGCUAUGUAUUCAGACCGCCCAAGGCGAUCCCGGCGCAAUCGAGGACGACAAGUGCAGCAACCAGCCAGCUCACAGGUUGAGGAGGAGGAUUCCAGCAAGGCAAGCAGCAGUGAGCUUGGGCCUACAAUUUCUGACACAUCGAAAUUCGAGACACUGUCGCUGAAUGACUCACCUCCCGCACUUGACUCAUCCGAUCGGUAUGACCUUUAAUUUUGAAAUUGCCUCUGUUCCAUCUGGUAGCAUGAUCACACCCCCAAAAAAAAGCAAAAUAAAUGAGUAGAACACAGAGAAGUGCAUUACAGAUCGAUAGUGUCUUGUGUUGAAAGAACCAUUUUGAACCCUCAGGAUUGACCAACAAAUUUCUCUGUUUUGCCUUGAUCACCCUCUUCCCACAUUGUGUAGAAUAAAGAUAAGUGCUAUAUGGU
Long non-coding RNA from Lolium rigidum, 668 nucleotides. RefSeq lists it as uncharacterized. The record is from RefSeq and is a predicted model, not a curated record. NCBI's taxonomy places the organism in Eukaryota, Viridiplantae, Streptophyta, Magnoliopsida, Poales, Poaceae. The transcript is spliced from 3 exons.